UACAUGGGGUGCAAACGUUGCUCGGAAUCAUUGGGCGUAAAGCGCGCGUAGGCGGUUACUUAAGUCGAAUGUGAAAGCCCUCGGCUUAACCGAGGAAGUGCAUCCGAAACUGAGUAGCUAGAGUACGAAAGAGGGUCGCGGAGUUCCCGGUGUAGAGGUGAAAUUCGUAGAUAUCGGGAGGAACACCGGUGGCGAAGGCGGCGACCUGGGUCGAGACUGACGCUGAGGCGCGAAAGCGCGGGGAGCAAACAGG
This 253-nucleotide ribosomal RNA is filed under the name uncultured bacterium. RNAcentral's name for it is "partial 16S ribosomal RNA". It matches the Rfam family "Bacterial small subunit ribosomal RNA", at positions 524 to 776 of the family's 1533-position model. The record is from RNAcentral.